ACUGAUAAGACACAGUUAUCAUAUUUUAAAUUGUUUUUAUUGUUGUUAUAUUUUGAUAACUACUAAUUUAUAAUAUGAAAACUUAAAGUAGUGCCAACCUAAUGUCGAAAUAAUUUUAUUUUUCUCAAAAUGGUAACUCUAAAUGUAUUCUAUUUACUUGCUUCAAUUCACUACACAUAACACCCACCGUGCAAGAAACUGUUACAAACAUUCCAAGAAUAUACCAUUUUAAGUUCCGAUACUAAUAUAAGAAUGGUACAUUCUCUGAAAGUUUCUGUAAUGUUCCAAAAAAACAUGAGUUAUAUACAUUUUAAGUUCCAAUGUAGACAUUACAAUGGAACGUUCCCUACACACCUACAUUUAUGGUUUUAUAAAAAUAUUGCUUUGUAAACGUGUAUAAUGUUUCCAAUACGUUACGGGAAUAUUCCAGAAAAACACGAUAGCUCUAGCCGAUCCGAUAAUAAUGGGUAAUUUUUGAUUGUUAUAUCUAAAAAUAAAUAUUUUUAUAAACACGGUAUAAUCUGUAUAUGUAUAAUACGUUAUACGUGGACACAGACUAUCAGUGACCGUGGCGGCAUUAUUUAUCAUUUCCCAUUGUCUGCUCUCGCCGUCUCCAGCGCACUUAUAACUUACAAGUACUUAAUAUUUUAAUUAUAUUUACGUGUAACUGUGGUGAGAAUACUGUAAACGACAUAAAUUUGUUUUGUAUCAAGUAUUAUAGUGUUUUGAAUCGUCAUUGAACAGUUUAAUUUCCCUAACACUAUGGCGAAUGUGAAUAAAAAGAAUUGGUCAAUGAAAUGGGUGGUGGCAAAAUUCACAGACACUAAAGAUUAUAGUGUUCUCCCCAUAAACUGACUGGUGGAAAACAAAACAGAAAAGUUGACCACUAGCACAAUCAAAUUUUGUAAGUGGCCACCGAUUAGAACUGUGACUAGCGAUGAUUUAAAAAAAGCUGUCAAACCAAAUGAUUCAUGGGCACAGUAUCAAAUUAAGAUACUUGGAGGCAACAAAACUUACGAAAAUUUUGGUAAAGCGUGGCAUAUACAAGUAGGGACAUCUGAUAUCGAAGAAUAACAAAUAGCAAAAAUAAGAUGCAUGAUUCCAGUAUCUGAUAGUACAGAUGACGAAGGUAUGGUGGAUUAUAGAACUUUUAAAAAAAUGCUGCAUAAUAUUAUUUACACCCGAGUACACUUCAGUGGCGGUUCUGGCAUUCAAUUUUGGAGGAGGCAAUAUGUUGUAACUCAGGCUAACGUGUGGGGGGCUUCGCCCCCACACCACCCCACCACACCACACCAUCAA
Acyrthosiphon pisum (pea aphid) is the source of this 1299-nucleotide long non-coding RNA. RefSeq lists it as uncharacterized. The transcript has 3 exons. NCBI's taxonomy places the organism in Eukaryota, Metazoa, Arthropoda, Insecta, Hemiptera, Aphididae. The record is from RefSeq and is a predicted model, not a curated record.